GGACUACUGGGGUUUCUAAUCCCGUUCGCUACCCUGGCUUUCGCGCCUCAGCGUCAGAAGAGAUCCAGCACGUCGCUUUCGCCACCGGCGUUCCUUCGGAUAUCAACGCAUUUCACCGCUCCACCCGAAGUUCCACAUGCCCCUACCUCCCUCGAGACCCGCGGUUUCCAAGGCACUUCCCCAGUUAAGCUGGGGGCUUUCACCCCGGACCUGCGAGCCCGCCUACGCGCCCUUUAAGCCCAGUGAUUCCGAACAACGUUCGCACGGUUCGUCUUACCGCGGCGGCUGGCAC
RNAcentral lists this ribosomal RNA (292 nucleotides) under uncultured bacterium. RNAcentral's name for it is "partial 16S ribosomal RNA". RNAcentral also lists the same sequence under 2 other names. The record is from RNAcentral.